CAAUGGGCGGAAGCCUGAUGCAGCGACGCCGCGUGGGGGAUGACGGCCUUCGGGUUGUAAACUCCUUUCACCAUCGACGAAGGGUUUCUGACGGUAGAUGGAGAAGAAGCACCGGCUAACUACGUGCCAGCAGCCGCGGUAAUACGUAGGGUGCGAGCGUUGUCCGGAAUUACUGGGCGUAAAGAGCUCGUAGGUGGUUUGUCGCGUCGUCUGUGAAAUUCCGGGGCUUAACUCCGGGCGUGCAGGCGAUACGGGCAUAACUUGAGUACUG
RNAcentral lists this ribosomal RNA (271 nucleotides) under Corynebacterium sp. HMSC074C04. RNAcentral's name for it is "partial 16S ribosomal RNA". It matches the Rfam family "Bacterial small subunit ribosomal RNA", at positions 369 to 651 of the family's 1533-position model. The record is from RNAcentral. Lineage: Bacteria; Bacillati; Actinomycetota; Actinomycetes; Mycobacteriales; Corynebacteriaceae.